GGGAAUUUUCCGCAAUGGGCGAAAGCCUGAUGGAGCAAUACCGCGUGGAGGAAGACGGCCCGCGGGUCUUAAACUCCUUUUCUCAGAGAAGAAGUUCUGGCGGUAUCUGAGGAAUAAGCUCCGGCUAACUAUGUGCCAGCAGCCGCGGUAAUACAUAGGGAGCAAGCGUUAUCCGGAAUGAUUGGGCGAGCGUCUGUAGGUGGUUCAAAAAGUUUACUGUCAAAUACGAUGGCUCAACCAUCGGCAGGCAGUGGAGUACUAUUGGACUAGAGUUCGGUAGAGGUAGAGGGAAUCCCUAGCGUAACAGUGAAAUGUGUAGAUUUUAGGGAGAACACCAGCGGCGAAGGCGCUCUACUGG
RNAcentral lists this ribosomal RNA (358 nucleotides) under Aphanothece sp. K107. RNAcentral describes it as "bacterial SSU rRNA". It matches the Rfam family "Bacterial small subunit ribosomal RNA", at positions 357 to 732 of the family's 1533-position model. Lineage: Bacteria; Bacillati; Cyanobacteriota; Cyanophyceae; Chroococcales; Aphanothecaceae. The record is from RNAcentral.